RNAcentral lists this transfer RNA (61 nucleotides) under Promecognathus crassus. RNAcentral's name for it is "tRNA-Pro". The record is from RNAcentral. Lineage: Eukaryota; Metazoa; Arthropoda; Insecta; Coleoptera; Carabidae.
GAAUAGUUUAAUUAAAAUAUUAAUUUUGGAGAUUAAUGAUAAAAGCUUUUUUUUUCUCUGA